AGUGAACGCUGGCGGUAGGCCUAACACAUGCAAGUCGAACGGCAGCACAGUAAGAGCUUGCUCUUACGGGUGGCGAGUGGCGGACGGGUGAGGAAUACAUCGGAAUCUACUUUUUCGUGGGGGAUAACGUAGGGAAACUUACGCUAAUACCGCAUACGACCUACGGGUGAAAGCAGGGGAUCUUCGGACCUUGCGCGAUUGAAUGAGCCGAUGUCGGAUUAGCUAGUUGGCGGGGUAAAGGCCCACCAAGGCGACGAUCCGUAGCUGGUCUGAGAGGAUGAUCAGCCACACUGGAACUGGAACACGGUCCAGACUCCUACGGGAGGCAGCAGUGGGGAAUAUUGGACAAUGGGCGCAAGCCUGAUCCAGCCAUACCGCGUGGGUGAAGAAGGCCUUCGGGUUGUAAAGCCCUUUUGUUGGGAAAGAAGAGCAGCAGGUUAAUACCCCGCUGUUCUGACGGUACCCAAAGAAUAAGCACCGGCUAACUUCGUG
This 492-nucleotide ribosomal RNA is filed under the name uncultured bacterium. RNAcentral's name for it is "partial 16S ribosomal RNA". It matches the Rfam family "Bacterial small subunit ribosomal RNA", at positions 29 to 507 of the family's 1533-position model. The record is from RNAcentral.